Molecule: non-coding RNA, 239 nt
Organism: Schizosaccharomyces pombe (fission yeast)
Lineage: Eukaryota; Fungi; Ascomycota; Schizosaccharomycetes; Schizosaccharomycetales; Schizosaccharomycetaceae
Source: the annotation of a GenBank genome assembly
GAUAACAAAUUUAAAGCUUAAGGUAUGAAAUUCAAUUUCUUUGACACGGGGGCAAUAAACCGUCAGAAGAAUGAAAGAAAAUUAGUAAAUUGUUUUAUGUUCGCCAACUUUAUUGGAUUAAACUGGCAAAACUGGCGCAUCGCAAAUUAAUGUUGAGCUGUCAUGAACACUGAUUUUCAAAUGUAAGUACAACUUUUCAACCAUGGCUAAUACUUUAUAAAUACACGAGCACUCGUGCA